Rosa rugosa (rugosa rose) is the source of this 1052-nucleotide long non-coding RNA. RefSeq lists it as uncharacterized. The transcript has 4 exons. NCBI's taxonomy places the organism in Eukaryota, Viridiplantae, Streptophyta, Magnoliopsida, Rosales, Rosaceae. The record is from RefSeq and is a predicted model, not a curated record.
CAAGUUUGAGGAUGAUUAUAAUCAAACACGAGUAUAACAAGUGUUUGCAACAGUAUAAUAGCAAACUGCAACGUGAUGUUAACAAAAUGGAUGAGUCCCGGAAACGAGCAGAAAAUGAGAAGCUGACUAUAGUAGAGAACCUUAGCAACUUGAGGGGUUUCAAGAAGGCAUUAGGAGAUCAAUUGGCUUCACUUAAAGAUUCAUCACAUAUUUCAGUCUAAUGCUUUGAGAACUGCUGUUGCAUGGGUUUUCCCAGUUUUAGACUAAUUGACUUUACUGGCGUCUUGCAUGUAGGCUUCACAUGAUGAUGCUUUGAAGCAAAAGGAAUGUCUUCGAGGGCAAUUGCAAGAGGUUAGAGAUGACCAUGAUCACCAUGUAAAAGAGAAUCAUGAUUUGAAGGUUGAAGUUGUGAGACACAUGAAUGAGCAGUCGUCGAGAAGCCACCUUGUGUUCACAUUGCGUAUUUCUGGUAUCAAUGAGAAUCCUGAACAGCUAGUUCAAGGGGUCGUAAACCUGAUUGAACUUGCUGGAGGUGAGCAUUUAUCAAGAAGUGGUGCAACUGGAGACCGUUUGAAGGAAACUCAGGUUAUUAACAAAAGUCUUUCAUCCUAAAGCGAUGUGAUAUUUGCUCCGGCAAAGAAGGACUAUCAUGUUCCUUUUAGGAAUUCAAAGCUCACCUAUAUUCUCCAGUCUUGUUUGGGAGGGGACUUGAAGAUCCUCAUGUCUGUCAAUGUCUCACCAGAUUCUACAUCAGUAGGAGAAUCUCUGUUCGCUCUGGUUUGCGCACAGGGUAAAUGCCUGCGAAAUUGGGGUUCCUUGGCGCCAGACAACUGCACGUCCUACUUCAGAUUCUCGCUUGACUUACGGCUGAUGAGGGCAAGGUCGUCAUGGGUACGUGGGUAGUUUCGUAUUGGGUUUGUAUUAUUGACCUGCAGAUCUUUCUGCUUCAACCUUCUUCUACUAAUUUGUACUUCUAGAUCCAUAGUGAGAGACUGAAUUUAAAUGUGAUACGAAUGAGAUAUAAAUGGUAGUUACAAUGUGCUAAACAUUAA